UAGGGAAUCUUCGGCAAUGGGGGGAACCCUGACCGAGCAACGCCGCGUGAGUGAAGAAGGUUUUCGGAUCGUAAAGCUCUGUUGUUAAGGAAGAACGAGUGUGAGAAUGGAAAGUUCAUGCUGUGACGGUACUUAACCAGAAAGGGACGGCUAACUACGUGCCAGCAGCCGCGGUAAUACGUAGGUCCCGAGCGUUGUCCGGAUUUAUUGGGCGUAAAGCGAGCGCAGGCGGUUAGAAAAGUCUGAAGUGAAAGGCAGUGGCUCAACCAAUGUAGGCUUUGGAAACUGUUUAACUUGAGUGCAGAAGGGGAGAGUGGAAUUCCGUGUGUAGCGGUGAAAUGCGUAGAUAUAUGGAAGAACACCGGUGGCGAAAGCGGCUCUCGGGUCUGUAACUGACGCUGGGGCUCGAAAGCGUGGGGAGCGAACAGG
Molecule: ribosomal RNA, 429 nt
Filed under: Bacteroidota bacterium
Lineage: Bacteria; Pseudomonadati; Bacteroidota
Description: Bacteroidetes bacterium partial 16S ribosomal RNA
Rfam family: Bacterial small subunit ribosomal RNA
Source: RNAcentral